UACGAAUUGUGCGAACGUUAUUCGGAAUCACUGGGCUUAAAGGGUGCGUAGGCGGCCAUGAAGGUCUGAUGUGAAAUCCCACGGCUCAACCGUGGAAUUGCGUUGGAAACCACAUGGCUUGAGUAGGACAGAGGUGAGCGGAACUGAUGGUGGAGCGGUGAAAUGCGUUGAUAUCAUCAGGAACACCGGUGGCGAAAGCGGCUCACUGGGUCCUAACUGACGCUGAGGCACGAAAGCCAGGGGAGCAAACGGG
RNAcentral lists this ribosomal RNA (253 nucleotides) under uncultured bacterium. RNAcentral's name for it is "partial 16S ribosomal RNA". It matches the Rfam family "Bacterial small subunit ribosomal RNA", at positions 524 to 776 of the family's 1533-position model. The record is from RNAcentral.